GUGUCAGCAGCCGCGGUAAUACGUAGGGUGCAAGCGUUAAUCGGAAUUACUGGGCGUAAAGCGUGCGCAGGCGGUUGUGUAAGACAGGCGUGAAAUCCCCGGGCUCAACCUGGGAAUUGCGCUUGUGACUGCACAGCUGGAGUGCGGCAGAGGGGGAUGGAAUUCCGCGUGUAGCAGUGAAAUGCGUAGAUAUGCGGAGGAACACCGAUGGCGAAGGCAAUCCCCUGGGCCUGCACUGACGCUCAUGCACGAAAGCGUGGGGAGCAAACAGGAUUAGAUACCCUGGUAGUCC
This 292-nucleotide ribosomal RNA is filed under the name uncultured bacterium. Its description in RNAcentral is "partial 16S ribosomal RNA". It matches the Rfam family "Bacterial small subunit ribosomal RNA", at positions 505 to 796 of the family's 1533-position model. The record is from RNAcentral.